UUUCCUUAGUCUGACGUGAAGCCUGUCAUCAUUCUUUUUCCCCUCUUGCUGCUUGAACUUCCCUCUUUUCACUGUUUUCAAUAGACUCACUGUGCUUUGGACUCGUUUGUAUUUGUUUGUUUGUUUUAGUCAGCUCUUGUUUGCUUGAUGCUUGAUUGCCUGAAUCUGUGGAACUGUGGAGUUUCCACCACCCUUGGAAAGUACCCAUGAUCUAUUCCAACACACACACCUAGCCAUUCCCUUCCCUGGGUGUUUCUCUGCAUGAAUAUUAAGUUACAGUGUCUCAACUCACUCACCCAGGACCUUCUGCUUUCUGAGACAUAGCGUGCCUUCUUCCUGUACACCUCAGUCUAUUAUGCGUCUUUCCCAGCCACUGGUUUUUUCACCUUGAAGCUCUUUCGUCUUCUCAGCGAAGUGAGACAGCUAUGGUAUUGUUUCUUCUUUUUGUGCUUCAGUCAGGAACAGGGUGCCCAGCUGGAAUCUGGGAAAGGACAGGGCUUGACUUGAAUGUUUGCUUUUGACUGGUAUUACAGCCUUGUGCUGUGCGUUGUCAGCCCCCCAUUUGGAUUUCUUUAAGAGACGAGGAAGAGUAGCCAUUGCUACUCUGUCAUAGAAAAAAGUACAAGACUUCUGAAGCUUUUCCUCACUUGGGACUUGAUUCAUAUUCCAAUUUUGGGCUUUUAGCUAAUUGAUGUAGAUGUGUCGAAAUGGUUACUUGAUUCUGAAAUUGACUGAUAAACCAGGAACUGUGGUCUUCAUUUUAGAGAUUUAUGACAAGAAGUAGAAUGUGUUUGAACCAAAUUUAACCAAAGUAUGAGAAUCCCUUGACUUAAUAGAAGAAACACAGGAGACAAAUGCACCUUUCUCUCUACUGUGGUUCUACUGUGCCCUCCAAAACCCAUGCUGCAUUUCAUCCUCAUUGUUGUGAGUUAAGAGUGAAAUAGGAUGGGGCUGUGAUGAAGUGGUCGGGUCACAAGGGAUCUGACCUCAGGAGCAGAUUAAUCUACCUAUGGAUUCAUGGAUUCAUGGAUGGGGACUGCUUACUGUGUUUGUAGCUUUAUUAUAAAAGAGAACUACAUUGGUUAGCUUUGCAACAUUACAAGGAAAUAUUGCAAGCAACUAAUUGAUAAAGAGAAAGGGUUUCUCAAGCCAUUGUUUUGGAAUAUGCAUUGGCUCAAUCAUGUAGUUCUAUGUGGGUGUAAGAUGGUGAUACAUCAUAACAGAAGAAAGUAUAACUCAAGUCCUUACAUCUCAAAUGGUGGGUGGAUAGAAAAAUGUGGGUAGGGGGCACUAUCUCAUUCAAGGUCAUGUCUCUAAUGAGCCAAGACCCUCUCCGUAAGACCUCAAUUUAUAAAGAUCUUCAGCACUUUCCAAUAGCACUCCUCUGUGGAAACAAGUCUUUAGCACAUGAACCUCUGGAAGACACUAUCUGCAUUCAAACCAUGUCAAGGAAUUUCUCUAGCUUGCAUGCUUUGUCUUGUCAUAUGAUACCCUCUGUCAUGUCAUGACCCAAGAAGAAGACUCUCACCAAAUGUUAAUUAGAUGCUGGCACCAUAUUUUUGGGCUCUCAGAACCAAGAACAGAAUGAGUCCCUUUACUUUCAAGAUUAUCUAACAUGUAGUCUUAAGCUAUAAUAACAGAAACUGAAGUAAGAAACCCACACUUGAGUCAGUCAUUUUGAUAACAGUGUAUUCCAUGUCACCAUACAAAAAGUGGAUGAUGACCCCAAAUAUUCUAGAAGAUACCACUGUUAACAAUAGUGCACAGAUGUUUUCUUUCAUCGACCUAACUCUUCUCUGAUGUCAGUCAUCAACGUUCACCUGUCUUGGGUUAGUUUAACAAAGUUUGUUCCAGCUGUAAGUAG
RNAcentral lists this long non-coding RNA (1864 nucleotides) under Mus musculus (house mouse). RNAcentral describes it as "predicted gene, 48724". The record is from RNAcentral. Lineage: Eukaryota; Metazoa; Chordata; Mammalia; Rodentia; Muridae.